Oreochromis aureus is the source of this 1133-nucleotide long non-coding RNA. The record is from Ensembl. NCBI's taxonomy places the organism in Eukaryota, Metazoa, Chordata, Actinopteri, Cichliformes, Cichlidae.
CUGGACCUGCUGCUAUAUUGAUAUUGAUCACUACACACUUUAUACACUUUUCUCAGACAGGCAUGAACAUUUUCACACUUUUGUCUUUUGUUUAAACACUCAAAGUUAAAACCUUCGUAGAAAAAUAAGUCCAGUAUUACAGAAUGAAACCAAAGUCUCCGGCAGGAGCCUUUGACGGUGCAAAAUGUUUCGUCGAUAUUGUUGUUUGUUGGGAAGAAAACUUACAAACAUACAGUACAGCACAGAGUCACACUGCUAGGAUCGAAGAUUUAUGUAAAUUUGACAAGCUGAACGUAUUCUGUACUGUACAGGAGACACGGCACCAGAUUGAUUGACAAUGGUCUACAGCCAAUCAGGACGCAGAACACAAUGCGCUAUAAAUAAAUAAAUAAAGAAGCAUGCAAAACUGCACAAGAAAAAUCCGCAAAACAGCGAGGGCGAACCGCGUUACAGUGAGGGACCACUGUACUUAGUUUUUCAGGACAGUUUUUCAAAAUAUAAAACGACAUAAUUUAUCAAAAUGUAUCAUAUACAGAUUAAAUAAGUGAUUAAUGCAUCAAAUGUAACCUCUACAUCUGUUUUUGUGCAGUUUGUGGCAGGAUGUGUUGCUAGCUAAAGCUCCAGCUGAUGAAUUUCCAGGGAGAGAAAAGAGUGUACGCUAACUUCAUUUACAAACAUGGAUUAGCACUGCUCGGUCACAUGAUAUUAUAUUUGGUGUUUUCUGCAGGUGCUUUAUUGCAGCUGUUAGCUACUAUACGUAGGAAAUUAUGUUAAUGAGAUCUCACACCAGAACGCUAAAGUUGCAGAACAAACAGGUGGACAUGGAUCACUACGAGUUCAUCACUGAGACCAAGAACUUUCAUACAUAAAGUCUGUGAAGGUUCUCAGUCAUCCAGCUCAUUGUAGUCCAAGGAGCUGGGAAAGAAAAGCAUCUGGACUUUUUAAAGUUUCCUUGAAGACGUUUUAUCCAAGAAGCUUCUUCAGCUCUACGAGUAAUUGGUGGGAGUGUCCCCAAGAGGGACAUGGACCCCCUGUUGAUCCUCUGCCUAAUCACACGAGCCAAGGUGUGAAAACAGGUGUGGGUCACAAUCAGCCAAGGUUUCAAGUGAACUCAGGUUUUCAGACAUUCAGUC